GCUAAACGCGAAGAACCUUACCUACCCUUGACAUGUCUGGAAUCCCGAAGAGAUUUGGGAGUGCUCGCAAGAGAACCGGAACACAGGUGCUGCAUGGCUGUCGUCAGCUCGUGUCGUGAGAUGUUGGGUUAAGUCCCGCAACGAGCGCAACCCUUGUCAUUAGUUGCUACGAAAGGGCACUCUAAUGAGACUGCCGGUGACAAACCGGAGGAAGGUGGGGAUGACGUCAAGUCCUCAUGGCCCUUAUGGGUAGGGCUUCACACGUCAUACAAUGGUCGGGACAGAGGGUCGCCAACCCGCGAGGGGGAGCCAAUCUCAGAAACCCGAUCGUAGUCCGGAUCGCAGUCUGCAACUCGACUGCGUGAAGUCGGAAUCGCUAGUAAUCGUGGAUCAGCAUGUCACGGUGAAUACGUUCCCGGGUCUUGUACACACCG
This 434-nucleotide ribosomal RNA is filed under the name uncultured bacterium. RNAcentral describes it as "bacterial SSU rRNA". It matches the Rfam family "Bacterial small subunit ribosomal RNA", at positions 954 to 1392 of the family's 1533-position model. The record is from RNAcentral.